CCUACGGGGGGCUGCAGUGGGGAAUAUUGGACAAUGGGGGGAACCCUGAUCCAGCCAUGCCGCGUGUGUGAAGAAGGCCCUCGGGUUGUAAAGCACUUUCAGUGAGGAAGAACGCCUGGUGGUUAAUACCCAUCAGGAAAGACAUCACUCACAGAAGAAGCACCGGCUAACUCCGUGCCAGCAGCCGCGGUAAUACGGAGGGUGCGAGCGUUAAUCGGAAUUACUGGGCGUAAAGCGCGCGUAGGUGGCUUGAUAAGCCGGUUGUGAAAACCCCGGGCUCAACCUGGGAACGGCAUCCGGAACUGUCAAGCUAGAGUGCAGGAGAGGAAGGUAGAAUUCCCGGUGUAGCGGUGAAAUGCGUAGAGAUCGGGAGGAAUACCAGUGGCGAAGGCGGCCUUCUGGACUGACACUGACACUGAGGUGCGAAAGCGUGGGUAGCAAACAGGAUUAGAUACCCCAGUAGUC
This 465-nucleotide ribosomal RNA is filed under the name Vreelandella stevensii. RNAcentral describes it as "partial 16S ribosomal RNA". It matches the Rfam family "Bacterial small subunit ribosomal RNA", at positions 338 to 795 of the family's 1533-position model. Lineage: Bacteria; Pseudomonadati; Pseudomonadota; Gammaproteobacteria; Oceanospirillales; Halomonadaceae. The record is from RNAcentral.